AUUGAACGCUGGCGGCAGGCUUAACACAUGCAAGUCGAACGAGUGGCGGACGGGUGAGUAAUGUAUGGGAAACUGCCCGAUGGAGGGGGAUAACUACUGGAAACGGUAGCUAAUACCGCAUACCAUCGGAUGUGCCCAGAUGGGAUUAGCUAGUUGGUGGGGUAAAGGCUCACCUAGGCGACGAUCCGUAGCUGGUCUGAGAGGACGACCAGCCAGACUGGAACUGGGACACGGCCCAGACUCCAACGGGAGGCAGCAGUGGGGAAUAGUGGACAAUGGACGAAAGGCUGAUGGAGCAAGGCCGGGUGUAUGAAGAAGGCUUUCGGGUUGUAAAGUUCUUUCAGCGGGGAGGCGGUACCCGCAGAGGAAGCCCCGGCUAACUCCGUGCCAGCAGCCGCGGUAAUUC
Molecule: ribosomal RNA, 406 nt
Filed under: uncultured bacterium
Lineage: Bacteria
Description: partial 16S ribosomal RNA
Rfam family: Bacterial small subunit ribosomal RNA
Source: RNAcentral